This 884-nucleotide ribosomal RNA is filed under the name uncultured archaeon. RNAcentral's name for it is "bacterial SSU rRNA". It matches the Rfam family "Archaeal small subunit ribosomal RNA", at positions 1 to 891 of the family's 1478-position model. The record is from RNAcentral.
UUCCGGUUGAUCCCGCCGGAGGCUACCGCUAUUGGAGUUCGAUUAAGCCAUGCGAGUCGAGAGUCUUAGGGACUCGGCGCACCGCUCAGUAACACGUGGGUAACCUGCCCUAUGCUGGGGAAUAACCUCGGGAAACUGAGAAUAAUGCCCCAUAGCCCACUACGCCUGGAACGGUGAGUGGGUCAAAGCUCCGGCGGCAUAGGAUGGGCCUGCGCCGUAUCAGGUUGUAGGGGGUGUAAAGUACCCUCUAGCCAUCAACGCGUACGGGUGUUGGGAGACAUUGCCCGGAGAUGGAUUCUGAGACACGAAUCCAGACCCUACGGGGUGCAGCAGGCGCGAAAACUUGGCAAUGCGAGCAAUCGUGACCAGGGAACUCCAAGUGCGUAGGGUAAGACCUACGCUUUUCUUGACUCUUCAAAGGUCUUGGAAUAAGGGGUGGGUAAGGACGGUGCCAGCCGCCGCGGUAAUACCGGCGCCUCAAGUGGUAGUCGCUUUUAUUGGGCCUAAAACGUCCGUAGCCGGUCUGGUGCAUUCGUGGGUAAAUCAACCCGCUCAACGGGUUGAAUUCUGCGAGCACGGCCAGACUUGGGACCGGGAGAGGUGUGGGGUACUCUCAGGGUAGGGGUAAAAUCCUGUCAUCCUGAGAGGACCACCUGUUGCGAAGGCGCCACACUAGAACGGAUCCGACGGUCAGGGACGAAACCUAGGGGCACGAACCGGAUUAGAUACCCGGGUAGUCCUAGGUGUAAACGCUGUGGACUUGAUGUUGGGGGCGCUCCGAGCGCUUUCAGUGUCGAAGCGAAGGUGAUAAGUCCACUGCCUGGGGAGUACGGUCGCAAGGCUGAAACUUAAAGGAAUUGGCGGGGGAGCACUGCAACCUGAGG